This 433-nucleotide ribosomal RNA is filed under the name uncultured bacterium. RNAcentral's name for it is "bacterial SSU rRNA". It matches the Rfam family "Bacterial small subunit ribosomal RNA", at positions 29 to 507 of the family's 1533-position model. The record is from RNAcentral.
AACGAACGCUGGCGGCAGGCCUAACACAUGCAAGUCGAGCGAACCCUUCGGGGUUAGCGGCGGACGGGUUAGUAACGCGUGGGAAUAUACCCUUUGGUACGGAAUAGCCUCGGGAAACUGAGAGUAAUACCGUAUGUGCCCUUCGGGGGAAAGAUUUAUCGCCAAAGGAUUAGCCCGCGUUGGAUUAGAUAGUUGGUGGGGUAAUGGCCUACCAAGUCUACGAUCCAUAGCUGGUUUGAGAGGAUGAUCAGCAACACUGGGACUGAGACACGGCCCAGACUCCUACGGGAGGCAGCAGUGGGGAAUCUUAGACAAUGGGCGCAAGCCCGAUCUAGCCAUGCCGCGUGGACGAUGAAGGCCUUAGGGUUGUAAAGUCCUUUCAGAUGGGAAGAUAAUGACGGUACCAUCAGAAGAAGCCCCGGCUAACUCCGUG